This is a non-coding RNA of Momordica charantia (bitter melon), 1891 nucleotides long. The record is from RefSeq and is a predicted model, not a curated record. NCBI's taxonomy places the organism in Eukaryota, Viridiplantae, Streptophyta, Magnoliopsida, Cucurbitales, Cucurbitaceae.
AAACCCUAGGGAUUGUUGACAUCAAGAAUUGGGGAGCGCUUCGAAUUCAUCCUCUUCGUUUGAUGAUUCGCUCUCUACCGCUCUUCCUCUGAAUUAACGCACUCCGGAUCAACAGUUCGAGUAUGGUAAAUAAAGAUUUCGUUUCGCGGAUUAGGAGUUUUCUGCACGAUAGGAGUUCUGUAGGAUUCGGGCGUUUUACUCGAGAUUGAUUGGUCAGUUGAUUGUUCUUCAACGUUGUGCUUACAAUCGCUGGAUUUCGGAACCAUGAGAAGUUCGUCCGAUCCAUUCCGCAUUCUUCUAAACCUCUCUUGCGUCUCUUCUUUGGAUCACUGGCGCGCGUCUUGCAUCCAGAGCACUGGGGAGUAUCGCAUAAGGCUAUUUUAAUCGAUUCUUGAUACAGAUACAGAGGAGGGACUUUCGAUCUUUGCAUUUCCACAUGUUAGUGUGGCUUUCAUCAAAAUUGAUAGCAGUGAACGCCGAAUUCUGACGGGUAAGAAGAAAUUGCGCAAGACAAAGGGAUUAUCGGCGGGGACGACACAUAAACUUCAUAAAAAAAGAGAAGGCACUCAGCAACAGCCUCCUUCUGAAGAAGACAUAUGAAACGUGCAUGUGGGUUAUUUUUUAGGUACUGUUAUUGCUCCAUAUUCCGUUCUCUCAUACCAUUUCUGGUAGAUUUUCGGUUUCACAUUAUUUUGCAGAGUUCUUGCGGUGAUUGGCGAAGAAGUAUUCGGUGUUCGUCAACAUAUAGGAGUGGUUUUAUAUGUUGUGAAAAAUUGAAUGUAAGAUUGAAGCAAGUCAUAGGUUAUCGCACGACAGGUGCGCUUACUUGAAAAGAUACUGGUGUGUGCAGUCCUGUGCGUAGUCGACCUUUGCCAUGACAGGUGCGCUUGCUUGGCAGGUCUAAAUAUAUAAAUAAAAGUUUGGUUUUUUGGGUUUCUGGGGAGGGGAUGGCACGGGCUCAUUUUACUAUUUUUGCCCGGCUCUUCCUCCCCAUUCUCUCCCUCUCUCUCUCCCUCUAUCCCUCCAACUUUCUAUUAUUGCUCAGUCUUCCCUCAGUCCACUAUUCAAACAACGUACAAACAAAGAGGAAUGUGUGCAGCAACUCAAUCGAUCGUGAGAUUGCAACCUCGAGACUCUGUUAUACAAAUUCUCUGAAGUUAUGUGUGUUUGACCACAUUGUGUUGCCGGAAUAAUACUUCUGCUGCCAGCAUGUUUAGCCAACGUAGAAAGAUGAUUCAAAUGGGCUUUUAUUUUGGAUAUUGUUUGAUUUCCUGUAUAAAGUCCAACUAUGUACCUGCAUUAUUGGUCCUUUGGCUGGUGAGACCAUUAUUGGCCGGUAGUUUUACAAAAUGUUGGAGAACCAAAAAAACCACACGGUGGUAGGGUUUAUAGCAAGACCUGGGAAGAGACUGUAGUAAAGCUCCAACUUCAAGCCCAUAUGGAAUUGUGGAAUUUCAACCAGAUUUGGUCUAUGGAGGAUGCCCAUUUCUAUGGCGAGCCUCAACAUAUGGAAUUGUGGAAUUUCAACAAGAUUUGUACUAUGUAUGGAGGAUGCCCAUUUCUAUGGCGAACCUCAAAAUCAAAUCUACUCGGCUUUGGCAGCAGUGUCCAGCAUAAUUUAUCUGAAAGAUGGUUGAUGAAGCCCGUGCAGUGCUCGAAGACCAGUGUUUUACUAGAAGUGAUGUUAGGCUGUUAGGGAUUGUAAUUAUAAAUAUAUUUUGUAUAUUGUCGUCUACGUUUCACUUAGGGUGAUUUAAUUUUUACUCAGAUGGAAAUCAAUGUAAUUAGGCUCCUAUUUCCCACAGCCCUAGCCUAUUUUGUAAAGGUAGGGGCUUCCUUCUGUAAACACACGUUUCUGGUAAUUAAUAAAAUAACUUUUUUUUUUUGGUAA